CGCAGCCGCGGUAAUUCCAGCUCCAAUAGCGUAUAUUAAAGUUGUUGCAGUUAAACAGCUCGUAGUUGAAUUUCGGGAUCAAUAUGUUGGUCGUGCCUUGGUACGUACUGGCAUUAUUGGUUUCUACCUUCUGACGAACCAUGAUGUCAUUUAUUUGGUGUCGUGGGGAAUCAGGACUGUUACUUUGAAAAAAUUAGAGUGUUUAAAGCAGGCUCGCGCUUGAAUACAUUAGCAUGGAAUAAUGAAAUAGGACGUUUGAUUCUAUUUUGUUGGUUUCUAGGAUCGACGUAAUGAUUAAUAGGGAUAGUUGGGGGCAUUAGUAUUCAAUUGUCAGAGGUGAAAUUCUUGGAUUUAUUGAAGACUAACUACUGCGAAAGCAUUUGCCAAGGAUGUUUUCAUUAAUCAAGAACGAAAGUUAGGGGAUCGAAGACGAUCAGAUACCGUCGUAGUCUUAACC
This 457-nucleotide ribosomal RNA is filed under the name uncultured Glomus. RNAcentral's name for it is "SSU rRNA". It matches the Rfam family "Eukaryotic small subunit ribosomal RNA", at positions 569 to 1031 of the family's 1831-position model. The record is from RNAcentral. Lineage: Eukaryota; Fungi; Glomeromycota; Glomeromycetes; Glomerales; Glomeraceae.